Molecule: ribosomal RNA, 117 nt
Filed under: Lepisosteus oculatus (spotted gar)
Lineage: Eukaryota; Metazoa; Chordata; Actinopteri; Semionotiformes; Lepisosteidae
Source: RNAcentral
GCAAGCAGCCAUAUCACCCUGCAACUAGCGACUGUCAGCCCAGUGAAGCUCAGCAGUGUGAGCCUGGUUAGUACCUGGAUGGGAGACCUCCUGGGAAAACUGAGGCUGCUGCUGGAA